ACAAUCGCAAUCGAGAUAUGCAGUAUAAUCAUCUUGACCGAGGGAAGCCUUACAAGUUGCAGCUGUCAAAUGAGUCAAACUUUUGCACUUCACUUGAACCUUUCAUGCUCGCGGCUGUUUGCCUUGUGCAACCGCAUCAUACAGCAUACAAUUAAGGAGUGGCUCCAAUGGCGGGGCUGGAGGGAACUCGAAGGACUGGACCAAAAAUGUCACUGGAGUGUCGUGCCAACUUCCUGCUCCCACUGAGUAGGUAGGUGCAAAAGCUCGACGGGGGCAGGGAGGGAGGGAGGAUAAUUACAUUUGGUACUGUUGAAGCCGCUGAUGACUAGGGCUGACAAGCCCUAGUGUUGGUUGGGCGCGUUCCACAUGCUCACCCCUAAGCACGCCUGACACAGCAGGGGGUAUCCUGGUCAAGACAAAAGAGACACGGGGACACAAGGCUCACGCCUUCUUUACCACAACAGCCAGCAGGCUAGGGCGGGGCCUCAGAGGGACAGACACAACUGCCUCCUUCACACCACACCACACGUACACACCAGACAAAAACACAGUCCAGGGAAAACACCGCCUGCCAAGGCCAGAAACACACACAAGGCCGCCCUGCCACAAACAACACCCCUGGCCACAACAGAGGGAAAGCAAGGCGCUUAGGGCGCAUAAAGCAAGCUAACCAAGCCCCCUCAAAAGGACCAGCAGGGGCCACUCUCUGGCAGAAACCACACCCUGCAUCGCUGGCCCUGGUGAAGCCCCCCAGCCCACCCACUAACAUAAACAGAAAACGGAAAGCAGAAACCCUGACCCUCUCUAGCCCACCCUCUUGCACCUGUGGAACCGUGCUUAGUCCUUGUCAUUGUCCGUGAUGGCCUGAGCGGGUUGUUCUGCGUUCAUACCUGUGUGACAGCACAACUGGCCGUUUACUAAAUGCUGCGCACCCACUUGAUCCCAGCCCUUCCGUGGCACUCCCAGUGCUGUGAAUGCUUUUAAGCGACCGCACAAGUCGAUCACUGCCGUGUCAAUCGCUUGUUGGGUGUCUGUCUGUAUUUGAGCCUGUUGUUGCUGCUGCAGCUGCUGCGGCUGCUGCUGCGGCUGCUGCGGUAACUGGCCCUGCUGUAGAGGUUGUUGAGGCAGUGGUGUUGUGGCAGCGGUCUUGCGGUGCACAGCGCGCACCACCCCCUCUCCAUAGCCGCUAACGCCGCCAUAGCCACUACAUCCCACACUGCUUGUUACACGCCAGUCGGGGCCUAAAACAACCACACCUGCUCCCUUGAGGGCGGGGCUGCAAGCUAUGCUGCGAGCUGCUGCACAACUGCCUGAGCUACGGCGCACUGCCAAAACGCGUGUAGCCUGGGGCUGUGGGUUGGCGUCACACCGCACCCGCACGGCACCGGACCAGGUGCAUGUGUGAGGUGCGUGUUACCGGCAAUGCCAAUGCCAUUGAUUGACACCCGCCAAGCUGUCUCCUUGUGGGCGUUCUCCCAGCAUAUCCGCCAGAGCCGGUCGAGGGGGGAAUCCAGCGUUGUGUGUGUGGGGGGGCUGCUGGUGGUGUCUCGCACGCCUCAGCUGCAUAUGCCGUGUGCAAUUGACUGCGGGCUACCCCGACGUCUUCCAGCUGCACCCCUGAGCAACACAUACAGACAGCUUCUCCAGUGCCAGGAGUUGCUGCAUGCCAGGUAUCCUCCAGCCAAGGCAAGGCAUGAUCAGCCGAACCACUGCCGACUCCGAGGGCGGGGCGGGGCCCAACCCAGCCCGGAGCUGUUCCUGUACUGCACGCGUGGCUGCCAGCCAGGUCUCUGGUAUGUCUGCUGCAAGGCUGUUCAGGCCCUCGAGCGCCGGCUGCUCGUGUAGCUGCUUCUCCGGGUCAAGGUACUGCCGCACCCAUUCCUCCCAUGCCACAACCCCAGUCGCUCCCACUGGCCAUGUUGCGCGCCAUGCUGCCGCCGCUGUCAGUGCUUGCACCAGGUCACCUAUGGUGCGCAGGUGGCGACACGCCGCGAGGCGUGUAUGGUGUGUCUCAAGGCCAGGCCGUCGGUUGUGGUCACCCUCAGUCAUGAGCGGAUUGCCCCACAAUGGUGCUGCCCAGCACCAAUCACCUGGCGCUGGUGGCGGUGUCCUCACCGUUCUCACAGGCAGGAGAUGGCCCAAAGCCUCGUUGAUGCGCUGCCGGUCGCCCGGCAACUGGCAUCCCAUGGGUCGGACGUCAGGGCGGGCCGAGAGGGAGGGAGGGAGGGAGGGAGGGAGGGAGGGAAGGAGGGAGGGAGGGAGGGAGGGAGGGAGGGAGGGAGGGAGGGAGGGAGGGAGGGAGGGAGGGAGGGAGGGAGGGAGGGAGGGAGGGAGGGGGAGCCUGCCCGACCACCUGCUGCCAGGCUACUCUAGCCCCUUAGCCAUACUUCAUCCCCCGCCCACCACCACCUUCUAAGUACCCCCUGAAACCCCUGACAACCUGCCUUGCCGCCUGCCUGUGUUUGCCGCGUACCCGCCCCACGCUUGCCCCCGUCUGACUGUCCCUGCAUCUGGGCGCCUGCGGGGCAUCCAGGCUGGCAGUGCUUGUGAGGAGCGGCACGCGGUCCGCACACUGCCCGCCCCCAUCCUCUUUCGACUCACCACCGCCAUGCCGUGUGCCCCUUGCCCUGAACCCCUGCCUUGCGCCCACUCUGCCUCUUUCGCCGCCUGGGCUUGUGUGCAGUCUUGUCUGUGUUGUCCCUUCUCUAUCCGCCAACGCGCCUCGGCCCUUUCACUGUGCCGUGCCCUUUCGGAUUUUGCCUUUCCCCUUUAUCACAUGUCGCGCUUCUGGCCUGACGCUCCCUGCCUGGCAUCAGGGUUGCUUUCCUGGUCGCCAGGUAAGUCGUGGGCUUUGUUUGUCCUCUCCGCGUGCCUGUUCUGUGCUUUUGUGCGCGCCACCGGGCCCGGGUGGUGACAUUCUCCUCCUCGGAACUUACAGUACAAGAGGCAGGCAUAAGCCCUGUCCUGACCCUGACCGGCACUCAACUCCCGGUCGGCUUAUGCCCAGUGUAUCCAUCCUUGUCCCAAUCGUCUCGUUACAAUUCCCCGCUACCUCAACCGAAACGACCGACGAUUACCUCCAAAACCCCGAUGUUUAUGUUGCAUUAGUGGCCGGCAAUACUCUUUAAACAUACUGGACCACACCAGUGGCCAGCAAUACACCUCAAACAUACCAAGCCACACCAGUGGCCGGCAAUGCACCGCAACCGGACAACGAUGCUCCCGGCGUUGGCAGUGGCCGGCCGGCGCCGGCGUGAUGGCCGGCGGCCCGGCCGGGCUAGGGCGCCGGCGUGGCACGCGCGCGCGAGCGCAUGGUCACGGAUGGCAGCGCGCUGGACUGUGGCGCGCCACGGCCGCGACCGCUCGGCGGCGGGACAGGCACUGCGACGGGCGCGGCACGCUGGGCCUUGAACCGCGGCCGCGGUGGGCACUGCCGCCCCGCCCGCGGCCGGCGCCCGUGCUGGAGAGGGCGCCGGGGGCGCUGCCGCUGGGCGCGGCGGGGCGGGCGCGGCCCGUGGCUGACGGCGGGGGCCUGGGCAUAAGGAAGGCGGGCGGGCUCUUUAGGAAUAGGAGUCUCUGCGGUAAAGCAGAGGAUAAGGAAGUAUUAAUCGGCGGAUAGCCGUGCAGCGCAGAGCGCUGCCCUACAAUACUUCGGCAAUGACAGUUGCCGUACUUCUCGUUCCAUCGUCGGAGAACUCUAUUUCUCAAGGCGAGAAACGCUACUAUUGUCGCCGGCGCAGCUCGCCCUGCUGCUCCACGACGCCUCGGCCCCCUCCCAUAAGUGUUACUGCCUGCAACUGACGCCUCUGCCUCCGCUAGUUUAAGUUGGUAUCGUUUAGUUGGUUUCGUUGGUUGGUCGUGGGCUGGUAUUUCCAAACCCUACCGCCCCCUACGCCUUCAAAGCGGCGCCGGCGCGCAGGUUGAGACCUGCCGGUGUUGUCUGGUUAGCGACCUGUGCUGACGAGCAUGGCGUAGCAGGCAGUCGGCUGCAGCGGCAGGGGUGUUUUCCUUGCUGUCUGGUUGGCCUGCUGCCUGCUGCACUAGCUGGGCGCGACUGGGCACAUAUGGCGGGCGGUGCCUGUACAAACCGACCCCGGCUAUGUCCGGGAGAUGAGGUUGUUCGGCCUCAGAGAGUGGAGGGGCUCAGCCCCUUUUCCCGUGACCGGGGAACACUUGUCUUGUCAAACCCUAAAACGUAUAUGUCUCGCCAGGCCACCCUUGGAUUGAGCGAAGAGCAGACGGAAGUAUGAAGCUGAACAGACCACGAAGUGUCAUAAUGGAAGAGGAGGUGGAGUGAUGGCACCUAGUAACAUAUUCGGUAUGGCGGGAGGAGCGUCCUAUGGGAGCAAGCCUACUAGAGCUAGAGUAGGCCGACGGCGCUGCAGGCGGCACGCCCCUGGGGUCCAGAGCAGGGUGUUCGUUCUCCACGUCACUGGCUUGUGAACUGCGUCAGCAGGUCCCUCUUGAAACAAUGCAAUCUUGGGAGGGUGUGGUGGCUGUGGCGCACGCAUACCGGGGGAUGAGGCAUCGUGGAGUGCGUGCAUAAGGGGAGGGGGCAUUGAUUCAAUUGUUGCUGUGUUUCACGGUAUGUUGUGUUGGACCGGGGCGGCCAGUGCAGCGCGGCUGGUGGUCGGGUGUUCACUGCCGCACGCAUGCGAGGGUCGGGGUUGUAGGCAGCGCACCACGCCGGCAACUUACUCAUUUUACCAGCGCUCGUAUCUUCCUUCGUUCGGAACGAAAUUUGCCAGGAAAGGCCUCUGGCGGAAGGAAUUUUUGGGCUGAGCCCCCUGAGGGUGCGAUCCAGGGGGGGCGAAGCCCCCCAGGAUUGCCCCUGUCUUGCGUCUGCAAAAAGUACCAUACUGGAACAAACCGCGGCCUGCAGCCCUGCGACCUGCUGGCGGCGGUGGCGGUGCAGGGCCUGGCGGCGGCGGUGGCGGCGGGGGUGGCACCGCGCCUACCGGCGGCAACGGCAGCGGCCACGGCGUUGGGCCCGGUGGUGGCGGCGGCACGGGCGGCCCUGGGCCCAGCGGCAGUGGCGGCGCGCAUGUUCGGAGCAGAGGGGGCGGGCAAGGCCACGUGGAGGAGGACGCCGCAGCGCCGCCUUCAAAGCGGCGCCGGCGCGCAGGUUGAGACCUGCCGGUGUUGUCUGGUUAGCGACCUGUGCUGACGAGCAUGGCGUAGCGGGCAGUCGGCUGCAGCGGCAGGGGUGUUGAGAGGUGGAGGUUUUCCUUGCUGCCUGCUGCCUGCCGCACUAGUGCUUGAUAGCUGAGCGCGACUGGGCACAUAUGGCGGGCGGUGCCUGCACAAACCGACCCCGGCUAUGUCCGGGAGAUGAGGCUAGUAUCGGAACCUUCGACCUCAGACGGAGGACGUGGCGGGGGCUCAGCCCACUUUUCCCUUGCGAGGGAAAGCCUGGUUUGGCUAUGUGCCUGUGGAAACCGACCCCUGCUAUGUCCGGGCAAUGAGGUUGUUCGGCCUCAGACUGCGGAGGGGCUCAGCCCCUUUUCCCAUGACCGGGGAACACUUGUCUUGUCAAACCCUAAAACGUAUAUAUAGGCAUUUGGGGCCCCUGGAUGCCGUGGGCGACAAUGUGAUCAGGCACGUAAUCAGGGCCCUUCUCGCCAGCGGCGGCACCCUACCCCUGGAACCCCCGCCUGGAAGAUGCAAGCCUUGUGGGAUCGUGGCCGCAGAUGCAGGCGUUGUAGGCAGUGCACCACGGCGGGAACUUUGGGGACAUUGGAGCUAUUUUGCAGGCGGCAAGGCACGCAACCCAUGUCGCAUGCCUGCCAUGCAUUGGAUGGGCAUUGCGGGCAGGCCUCCAGCACUGCAGGGAAGCCUCCAGCAACGGGGUGGCCGUAGAGCAGCUCUGUUGGGAUUCCCGCCUGGUGCUGUUCAGCAGCUUAAACUGCGCCCACCCCCCUCCAAUUUCAUUGGGCUCGGGCAUGUACCUGGUGUACCCCCUACCCGGGCGCAUACGGUACCGUACACCCCCAGAGCCACCAAAGUGAUUACAGUGCCCUCCACGGGUGCGACAUGCCCUCACUGUAUAAGGGCGAUCCGUGGCUCUCGCCAACGCGGCGUCCCCACACGCUGAAACGAUGUGUUAAGUUUGCUCCUAGAUUAGAGACGACCACUCAGGACGGUGUAUUGGGGCUCGCGCUGUGAUGUGGUCAACCCAUCUAGCUCCCUAUGUCAACGGACCUAGGCCGGACGGCUGGGGAAGACAGCAUCAACCUGUCCUCCAAACUCUGUACACACAACAUGACUUGCGCCGCCUCUUCAUCACCUCUUGCACCUCCCGCCAGAGCACCUCCUGCGGUGUGCCCCGCCCAUGUGCCUGCCCCGCCCAUGUGCCUGCCACUGCUCUCGCCGCGCCCUCUGCCACUGCUGGACCCUGGCAUCGCUGCUCACACGCGGCACGUGCUAUACACAUCAUAGUUGUAGACUCUACACUGGUGCGGUAUGUCAACCACCACCACAAACAAAGGCCCACCGGGGCCGCUUUUGCGGACGUGACACGAUCCCAAGCCUCCCUCACGACGCCUGGCCACCUAUCUAUCCUUCCCGCGCUCAUUCCCGUAUGCAUUGUCCAGUAAGCCACCUUCACCUUACGAGACUCCCACAUGUGUAGACAGCCUGUUCCAACACGUCCCCGCCAUGUGCACCACCAACACACAACUGCCGGGUGGGUAUGCAUCCAUCCUUGUAUCUGCCCUUUACGCACCCUGCGCCUCAAUUGCCCCCUGCUCGCCCACGGCCUCAGGCAGCCCCGGCUCCCCCGCCGCCGCCCGCCGCGCCGCCCACAGAGCCCGCACACUGGGCCACGACUCGCAGCAGCGCUUCCAGCCGAAUGCCUCCGUCGUGUUGGCCCCCACAUUCGCGUAAGGCGGUCGGGGGGCAGCAGGGGCAGGCUCCGGCCCCGCCUCCGCAGCAGCGGCGGCCGUGGGCACUUCGCUGCCACUGGGACCCGGCUCAGCAGGAUCCGUUGAGGUGCCUGCCGCGGCACCUGCGCUCCCAUACACGCCUGUUGCUGCUGUGGGCGCCGUCGCCUGAGCCUUGCGUGCCGCCUCCGCCUUGCCCCGCACCUGCAGCAGGUCCGGACCGCAGGCACAGGGCAUAACCCCCCAGAACUCUGGACUUGGCAAGACAAAGUCAGUAUCACAUGCAGACCCAGUUGCGUGUCAGUUGCCUGCCUCCAGCCGCCCCCACACCUGCACGGACAGCUUGCGGCAGGUGGCGGGUCCCAUGAGCUCGCGCGCAAAGGCCAGCAGCUCGAUGGCGCUCAGCGAGCGAAGCGCCGCCACCUCAGCCUCCUGCGUGGCGGGUGGAGUGGUGUGAGCCAGUGUGAGAUGAUGUGCAAUAUCGUGAUCACAAUCAGCAUCUUGUAUAUGGUUCUGAGCGUGUGCGCCCUCAUAUCAACAUGCAUGAGGAGCAAGCACCACUCAAGUUACCUUGCGGCAAGUCAAGUAAUGAAUGCUAGCAGCCACUUCUGCCUAUAGCAACGAAUGGGCACGCCCGCAUACAACCGUCCCCGACCCAUACCCGCAUGGACGCAGGCAAUAGCCACGCGCGACAGGCGUAACGCGCACCUGGCGGUCAAAUACAUAGGUGCCGUGUUGAAUUUCGGACCACCAGCGGUUGGCCAGGUCACCUGACAGCGUAUCAAGGGAAGGGGCGCGGGUGGGGGCGUGUGGCGCACGCAGCGAAUCCAAAAGUACACCGGGGAAGGCACUGGGUUAGCACAUGAAGGGUCCCAUUCGACGCGGGGGGGAGGGUCAUGUGCUGAUGUGCCUGCCCCACGUCGGCACCACCAAGCCCGCCGGCCACGGCAAAUAAGGCCCGAUGCCGACAACACCUUUGGGUAACCCCCUCUCCCCCUGGGCCGCCAGCCUGGCCAGGUACCCUGCAACACCCCUGCCUGCCUCUCUCGACCCAUCUUUUCCGCUUCAUACAUGAGCUCUGACCCAUGCAAGCCAACGCAUGCCUGGCCAAGCCAGCUGGAGGGCCUUGCUUUGGCCUCUGCCCACCCCAGCCUCCCACCCCUAAUGCAUCCCGUCUUUCACGGAACGCUUACCCCCUCCCACCCCACCCCAGCUCCGCUCACCCAGCUUCUUGGGCUUCUCCAGUUUGGCCUUUGCCAGCUCC
This 8145-nucleotide long non-coding RNA is filed under the name Chlamydomonas reinhardtii. RNAcentral describes it as "long non-coding RNA (CREI_LNC000735)". The record is from RNAcentral. Lineage: Eukaryota; Viridiplantae; Chlorophyta; Chlorophyceae; Chlamydomonadales; Chlamydomonadaceae.